Molecule: long non-coding RNA, 431 nt
Filed under: Rattus norvegicus (Norway rat)
Lineage: Eukaryota; Metazoa; Chordata; Mammalia; Rodentia; Muridae
Description: long non-coding RNA NONRATT011832
Source: RNAcentral
CUCAUCUUCUGGAAAUACCUUGGCUGUUUUAGGGCUCUGUGACCUUUGAAGAUGUGGCUGUAAACUUCACUGUGGAGGAAUGGGCUUUACUGGGUCCCUCCCAAAAGAAGUUACACAGAGAUGUGAUGGAGGAGACCUUCAGGAACCUGGCUGCCAUAGGAAAAACACAAGAAGACCAGAACAUAGAUGAUGACCAUAGAUAUUCUAGAAGAAAUCAAAGGUAACUUUACCAACUCAUGAUAACGUAGCUCAAGAAUCUGGAAAUGGCCAGUAGUUUUUAAAGUCAAGACAACUAUCCAAGUAAGCCCAACUUCAAGGUGAUAAAUUUAAAGCAUUUCUCUCUCUAAAAGGUGCAUAUAGAAUUGGAAAUGUUUACAGUAUUGACUUGGCGGUGCAAGUGAUACUUUCUAAUGGUUUCAUCAACACAAACU